RNAcentral lists this ribosomal RNA (120 nucleotides) under uncultured bacterium. RNAcentral's name for it is "partial 16S ribosomal RNA". It matches the Rfam family "Bacterial small subunit ribosomal RNA", at positions 215 to 334 of the family's 1533-position model. The record is from RNAcentral.
GCGUUAUUGGAGCGGCCGAUAUCAGAUUAGCUUGUUGGUGGGGUAAAAGCCUACCAAGGCGACGAUCUGUAGCUGGUCUGAGAGGACGACCAGCCACACUGGGACUGAGACACGGCCCAG